UAUGCGAAACGCCGUCGACUCGGCUAUCACAUUUUUUUUUUAGUUAGUUUGGGCGCCAUAUUGUUACGGAACUGCAUAUUUCCCGAAGGGAAAGUGCCGGCUAUCCACGGAGUCCCAGGACGGAGUACCCCAUAUGCCCUGCAGUCCGAACAAUUGAUUCCGACUCAUCAGACGUCUCAAGUCACUAACCUUACAAUUACCAUCACUAUCGCAAAUCAAAACAAAACAAAGGUUUAUUUACUUUCAAAAAGAUUGAUAAUUGGACGAAAUUGGUGACUUUGGUAUCAUUACCACGACGCACCCAAGGGCAAUGUUGGAUGCACACCCCAUCUCCGGCAGACCGGAGUCUAUUCCUGGUGGAUUAUAAUCGGCUCAUCUCCCCGCCCAAGAAUUGAACGUUUGGUCAUGGUCGAAGCAGCAGCAAGAAAGAAGAGAAUGCAAGCGGCGAGAACCAGCACGAGUCCGCACGGAACCAAAUGGCCCGGAGGAAGCUCAGCCUUUGGCCAGUAGGGGCCGGAUGCAGUACGUCAGUGGUCCCAGGGAUGACGACGUAGUCAACGCGGGUAUUCGUUACCGGACUCACCGAGGGAAUCACCUUGUGGGGUCGUCACUUAGGCAAUUGCUGACGUUGAUGCCGCUGUUGAAGUCUGCAGCUGAUGUUGCUGCGGAUCGCUGCUGAUGCUGCUGCGGAUCGCUGCUGAUGCUGCUGCGGAUCGCUGCUGACGGUCAGGUGCAGUCUCGGUAGUCCUCUACGGAGGACGUGGUCUUCACGACCAGGUUAGGUCCGCCAUGUAAGUUUCUUCUGUUCACGAGUCUCCUAAAUAUCCGGUGCCCUUUAGAUAGGGUUCCCAGUGGCUUUAAUAUUUUUUAAAAAUCACUUAUUUAUAAGUUUAAGAUCAAUAAAUAACUACUCACUUUAACAUA
Drosophila elegans is the source of this 924-nucleotide RNA transcript. RefSeq lists it as uncharacterized. The transcript is spliced from 2 exons. NCBI's taxonomy places the organism in Eukaryota, Metazoa, Arthropoda, Insecta, Diptera, Drosophilidae. The record is from RefSeq and is a predicted model, not a curated record.